This is a long non-coding RNA of Homo sapiens (human), 356 nucleotides long. RefSeq lists it as uncharacterized. The record is from RefSeq and is a predicted model, not a curated record. Lineage: Eukaryota; Metazoa; Chordata; Mammalia; Primates; Hominidae. The transcript has 4 exons.
CUGGGUUCAAGCAAUUCUCCUGCCUCAGCCUCCUGAGUAGCUGGGAUUACAGGUGCCAGGCACCACACCCAGCUAACUGAAUUGAGCAGGUUCCUUAAUGUGGUCUAGGUUGAAGACAGCAUCAAGGAAACAAUGCAGGAAUUAACACUCAUCAAACAGGGACGAAAGGUCUCCAUAUGUUGCCCAGGCUGGUCUUGAACUCUACAGGUGGUACAUUCAAUACCAAGCUGAGAACACCCUCUCAAACUGAGAUGAGAAACAGACUCAAAGAGGUUAGGAAAUUCACCCAUGGUCACAGAGAUAGACAAGGAAAAAGGGAAAUAAGAAGGCCCAAGAAGAGGGAGGGAGAGAGAUGG